RNAcentral lists this ribosomal RNA (483 nucleotides) under uncultured bacterium. RNAcentral's name for it is "partial 16S ribosomal RNA". It matches the Rfam family "Bacterial small subunit ribosomal RNA", at positions 29 to 506 of the family's 1533-position model. The record is from RNAcentral.
AUUGAACGCUGGCGGAAUGCUUUACACAUGCAAGUCGAACGGCAGCACGGGGGCAGCCCUGGUGGCGAGUGGCGAACGGGUGAGUAAUACAUCGGAACGUGCCCGGUCGUGGGGGAUAACGUAGCGAAAGUUACGCUAAUACCGCAUACGAUCUGAGGAUGAAAGCGGGGGACCUUCGGGCCUCGCGCGAUCGGAGCGGCCGAUGUCAGAUUAGGUAGUUGGUGGGGUAAAGGCCUACCAAGCCGACGAUCUGUAGCUGGUCUGAGAGGACGACCAGCCACACUGGGACUGAGCAACGGCCAAGACCCCUCGGGGGGGCAGCGGGGGGGAAUUUUGGAAAAUGGGCGAAAGCCUGAUCCAGCCAUUCCGGGGGAAGGACGAAGGCCUUCGGGUUGUAAACUGCUUUUGUACGGAAAAAAAAGGCUCUGGCUAAUACCUGGGGCUCAUGGCGGUACCGAAAAAAAAAGCACCGGCUAACUACGU